RNAcentral lists this ribosomal RNA (294 nucleotides) under uncultured Streptococcus sp. RNAcentral describes it as "partial 16S ribosomal RNA". It matches the Rfam family "Bacterial small subunit ribosomal RNA", at positions 60 to 333 of the family's 1533-position model. Lineage: Bacteria; Bacillati; Bacillota; Bacilli; Lactobacillales; Streptococcaceae. The record is from RNAcentral.
UGCAGUAGAACGCACAGGAUGCACCGUAGUUUGCUACACCGUAUUCUGUGAGUUGCGAACGGGUGAGUAACGCGUAGGUAACCUGCCUGGUAGCGGGGGAUAACUAUUGGAAACGAUAGCUAAUACCGCAUAAGAACAUUUAAUGCAUGGUAGAUGUUUAAAAGGUGCAAAUGCAUCACUACCAGAUGGACCUGCGUUGUAUUAGCUAGUAGGUGAGGUAACGGCUCACCUAGGCGACGAUACAUAGCCGACCUGAGAGGGUGAUCGGCCACACUGGGACUGAGACACGGCCCA